RNAcentral lists this ribosomal RNA (541 nucleotides) under uncultured bacterium. Its description in RNAcentral is "bacterial SSU rRNA". It matches the Rfam family "Bacterial small subunit ribosomal RNA", at positions 316 to 857 of the family's 1533-position model. The record is from RNAcentral.
GAACUGAGACACGGUCCAGACUCCUACGGGAGGCAGCAGUGGGGAAUAUUGCGCAAUGGAGGAAACUCUGACGCAGCAACGCCGCGUGGGUGAAGAAGGUCUUCGGAUUGUAAAGCCCUGUCGGGGGGGAAGAAAAGCGCGUGGAGAACGCGUAUGACGGUACCCUCGAAGGAAGCACUGGCUAACUCCGUGCCAGCAGCCGCGGUAAUACGGAGAGUGCAAACGUUGUUCGGAAUUAUUGGGCGUAAAGGGCGCGUAGGCGGUCUGGUAAGUCGGAUGUGAAAGCCCGGGGCUCAACCCUGGAAGUGCGUUCGAAACUGCUGGACUUGAGUUCAGGAGGGAGAGGUGGAAUUCCUGGUGUAGGGGUGAAAUCCGUAGAUAUCAGGAGGAACACCGGUGGCGAAGGCGACCUCUUGGCCUGUAACUGACGCUGAGGCGCGAAGGCGUGGGGAGCAAACAGGAUUAGAUACCCUGGUAGUCCACGCGGUAAACGAUGCUCACUGGGUGCUGGUGGUAGACGCUGUCAGUGCCGUAGCUAACG